CCCAAAGUGCUCCAUAUAGGAGCUGUGGUAGGUGCGUAAUGUUCCCUACUAGAAAGGAGAGGGCAAGGCUGGUGCCAGCCGCCGCGGUAAAACCAGCUCUUCAAGUGGUCGGGAUAAUUAUUGGGCUUAAAGUGUCCGUAGCUGGUAAGGUAAGUUCCUGGUAAAAUUGGGCAGCUUAACUGUCCUUAUGCUAGGAAUACUGCUUUAAUUAGAGGGCGGGAGAGGUCUGAGGUACUACAGGGGUAGGAGUGAAAUCUUAUAAUCCUUGUAGGGACCACCAAGUGGCGAAGGCGUCAGACUGGAACGCGCCUGACGGUGAGGGACGAAAGCCAGGGGAGCGAACCGGAUUAGAUACCCGGGUAGUCCUGGCCGUAAACGAUGCACACUAGAUGAUGGUGCGGCCAUGAGCCGUAUCAGUGUCGUAGGGAAACCGUUAAGUGUGCCGCCUGGGAAGUACGGUCGCAAGGCUUAAACUUAAAGGAAUUGGCGGGGAGCACCACAAGGGGUGAAGCCUGCGGUUCAAUUGGACUCAACGCCGGGCAACUUACCAGGGGAGACAGCAGAAUGAAGGUCAGGUUGACGACCUUACCUAACAAGCUGAGAGGAGGUGCAUGGCCGUCGCCAGUUCGUGCUGUGAGGUAUCCUGUUAAGUCAGGCAACGAACGAGACCCGUGCCUUUAUUUGCCAUCAAGAAGUCACGACUUCGUUGGGAACGAUAAAGGGACUGCCGUCGAUAAGACGGAGGAAGGAGCGGGCAAAGGCAGGUCAGUAUGCCCCGAAACCCCUGGGCUACACGCGGGCUGCAAUGGUGCGAACAAUGGGCUGUGACUCCGACAGGAGAAACCAAUCCCGAAAUCGCAUCUCAGUUGGGAUUGUCAACUGUAACCCGUUGACAUGAACGUG
RNAcentral lists this ribosomal RNA (903 nucleotides) under uncultured crenarchaeote. RNAcentral describes it as "bacterial SSU rRNA". It matches the Rfam family "Archaeal small subunit ribosomal RNA", at positions 379 to 1284 of the family's 1478-position model. Lineage: Archaea; Thermoproteati; Thermoproteota. The record is from RNAcentral.